Molecule: ribosomal RNA, 564 nt
Filed under: Triticum aestivum (bread wheat)
Lineage: Eukaryota; Viridiplantae; Streptophyta; Magnoliopsida; Poales; Poaceae
Description: partial small subunit ribosomal RNA
Source: RNAcentral
AAUCCUGGAAGCGUCACUAUAGUUACCACUGAGCCAAAUCCCGAGCCACAUAUCAAUCCUAAUCCUAUGUUCAGUGGGCUGUUUGUGAGCUUUCAUGCACAUAUUCAAGGGUUUCUCUCCGGUUGUAGGCCAUUUAUUGGAUUAGAUGGUUGUUUUGUCAAGCUAGCUAACAGUGCGCAAGUUUUAGCUGCUUCUGCAAGAGAUGGCAACAACAUGUUUCCUCUAGCUUUUGGAGUGGUUAAUAUAGAGGACACUGACAAUUGGACAUGGUUUUUGCAAACACUGGAGUCAGCAAUUGGACAGGGCGAGCAACAUGGUGGAUGGAAAAUCAUGUCAGAUAGGCAGAAGGGAUUACUUUCAGCACUCACAAAGAUUUUUCCACAUUGUGAACAUAGAUUUUGCAAAAGACAUGUCCUUGCAAACAUCUCCAGAGCUGGAUUCAGAGGUGAAAUCUACAAGGAAUACUUUGAUAAGGUUGUUUAUGCAUGCACUUUGAGCGAGUACAAUAUUGCCAUGGACAACUUGAAGGCUUAUGAUGUAGAAGCCUGGAAGUGGGUUAGAGCA